Molecule: ribosomal RNA, 1396 nt
Filed under: Staphylococcus pseudintermedius
Lineage: Bacteria; Bacillati; Bacillota; Bacilli; Caryophanales; Staphylococcaceae
Description: partial 23S ribosomal RNA
Rfam family: Bacterial large subunit ribosomal RNA
Source: RNAcentral
GAGUGUUAGGCAAAUCCGGCACUCUUAAGAUUGAGCUGUGAUGGGGAGAGGAACUUGUUCCUCGAGUCGUUGAUUUCACACUGCCGAGAAAAGCCUCUAGCUAGAAUAACGGUGCCCGUACCGCAAACCGACACAGGUAGUCAAGAUGAGAAUUCUAAGGUGAGCGAGCGAACUCUCGUUAAGGAACUCGGCAAAAUGACCCCGUAACUUCGGGAGAAGGGGUGCUCUUUGAGGUUCACGCUUCGAAGAGCCGCAGUGAAUAGGCCCAAGCGACUGUUUAUCAAAAACACAGGUCUCUGCUAAACCGUAAGGUGACGUAUAGGGGCUGACGCCUGCCCGGUGCUGGAAGGUUAAGAGGAGUGGUUAGCGCAAGCGAAGCUACGAAUCGAAGCCCCAGUAAACGGCGGCCGUAACUAUAACGGUCCUAAGGUAGCGAAAUUCCUUGUCGGGUAAGUUCCGACCCGCACGAAAGGCGUAACGAUUUGGGCACUGUCUCAACGAGAGACUCGGUGAAAUCAUAGUACCGGUGAAGAUGCCGGUUACCCGCGACAGGACGGAAAGACCCCGUGGAGCUUUACUGUAGCCUGAUAUUGAAAUUCGGUACAGUUUGUACAGGAUAGGUAGGAGCCUUAGAAGCGUGAGCGCUAGCUUACGUGGAGGCAUUGGUGGGAUACUACCCUAAUUGUAUUGGAUUUCUAACCCGCAGCACUUAUCGUGCUGGGAGACAGUGUCAGGCGGGCAGUUUGACUGGGGCGGUCGCCUCCUAAAGAGUAACGGAGGCGCUCAAAGGUUCCCUCAGAAUGGUUGGAAAUCAUUCAUAGAGUGUAAAGGCAUAAGGGAGCUUGACUGCGAGACCUACAAGUCGAGCAGGGUCGAAAGACGGACUUAGUGAUCCGGUGGUUCCGCAUGGAAGGGCCAUCGCUCAACGGAUAAAAGCUACCCCGGGGAUAACAGGCUUAUCUCCCCCAAGAGUUCACAUCGACGGGGAGGUUUGGCACCUCGAUGUCGGCUCAUCGCAUCCUGGGGCUGUAGUCGGUCCCAAGGGUUGGGCUGUUCGCCCAUUAAAGCGGUACGCGAGCUGGGUUCAGAACGUCGUGAGACAGUUCGGUCCCUAUCCGUCGUGGGCGUAGGAAAUUUGAGAGGAGCUGUCCUUAGUACGAGAGGACCGGGAUGGACAUACCUCUGGUGUACCAGUUGUCGUGCCAACGGCAUAGCUGGGUAGCUAUGUAUGGACGGGAUAAGUGCUGAAAGCAUCUAAGCAUGAAGCCCCCCUCGAGAUGAGAUUUCCCAACUUCGGUUAUAAGAUCCCUCAAAGAUGAUGAGGUGAAUAGGUUCGAGGUGGAAGCGUAGCGAUACGUGGAGCUGACGAAUACUAAUCGAUCGAAGACUUAAUCAA